UGGGGGAAUAUUGCACAAUGGGCGCAAGCCUGAUGCAGCCAUGCCGCGUGUGUGAAAGAAGGCCUUCGGGUUGUAAAGCACUUUCAGUCGGAGGAGGAAGGUGGUGAGCUUAAUACGCUCAUCAAUUGACGUUACUCGCAGAAGAAGCACCGGCUAACUCCGUGCCAGCAGCCGCGGUAAUACGGAGGGUGCAAGCGUUAAUCGGAAUUACUGGGCGUAAAGCGCACGCAGGCGGUUUGUUAAGUCAGAUGUGAAAUCCCCGGGCUCAACCUGGGAACUGCAUUUGAAACUGGCAAGCUAGAGUCUCGUAGAGGGGGGUAGAAUUCCAGGUGUAGCGGUGAAAUGCGUAGAGAUCUGGAGGAAUACCGGUGGCGAAGGCGGCCCCCUGGACGAAGACUGACGCUCAGGUGCG
Molecule: ribosomal RNA, 412 nt
Filed under: uncultured bacterium
Lineage: Bacteria
Description: partial 16S ribosomal RNA
Rfam family: Bacterial small subunit ribosomal RNA
Source: RNAcentral